CAGAGACUGCAAGCGUUGUUCGGAUUCAUUGGGCGUAAAGGGUGCGCAGGCGGUGCGUUAAGUCGGAUGUGAAAUCUCACAGCCUAACUGUGAUAGGUCAUUCGAAACUAGCGCGCUAGAGGACUGGAGAGGGGACUGGAAUGGUCGGUGUAGCGGUGAAAUGCGUAGAGAUCGACCAGAACACCGGUGGCGAAGGCGGGUCUCUGGACAGUUCCUGACGCUCAGGCACGAAAGCCAGGGAGCAAACGGGAUUAGAUACCCCGGUAGUCCUGGCCUAAACGGUGUUCACUUGGUGUGCGGGAGUCGACCCCUGCGUGCCGCAGCUAACGCGAUAAGUGAACCGCCUGGGAAGUACGACCGCAAAGGUU
Molecule: ribosomal RNA, 368 nt
Filed under: uncultured organism
Description: bacterial SSU rRNA
Rfam family: Bacterial small subunit ribosomal RNA
Source: RNAcentral